Molecule: long non-coding RNA, 219 nt
Organism: Apis florea (little honeybee)
Lineage: Eukaryota; Metazoa; Arthropoda; Insecta; Hymenoptera; Apidae
Source: RefSeq, a predicted model, not a curated record
UUUAAUUAAAAAUAAAAACACGAAAAAGAAAAAUAAUUUACCAGGCUUGAUAAAUGCUGCAAUUUUUGGAAACUCCAAUGGUUUAAAAAUAGAUCCAUCCGCAGAGGAGGACUCCUCUGGUCUGACUGGACUUAACUGGCUUCACUUGUAAAUUUUGUGACAGGUCGACCAAAAAGUAAUAUGUCUACUAAAAGUCGUUGUCAAGGAAACAGAUUUGUA